GACGAACGCUGGCGGCGUGCUUAACACAUGCAAGUCGAACGAUGAAGCCGGAGCCUGCUCCGGUGGAUUAGUGGCGAACGGGUGAGUAACACGUGAGCAAUCUGCCCUUGACUCUGGGAUAACUGCGGGAAACUGUAGCUAAUACCGGAUACGACACCUUGGGGCAUCCCAGGGUGUGGAAAGAAUUUCGGUCAAGGAUGAGCCCGCGGCCUAUCAGCUAGUUGGUGAGGUAAUGGCUCACCAAGGCGACGACGGGUAGCCGGCCUGAGAGGGUGACCGGCCACACUGGUACUGAGACACGGUCCAGACUCCUACGGGAGGCAGCAGUGGGGAAUAUUGCACAAUGGGCGAAAGCCUGAUGCAGCAACGCCGCGUGAGGGAUGAAGGCCUUCGGGUUGUAAACCUCUUUUAGCAGGGAAGAAGCGAAAGUGACGGUACCUGCAGAAAAAGCACCGGCUAACUACGUGCCAGCCGCCGCAGUAA
RNAcentral lists this ribosomal RNA (483 nucleotides) under uncultured bacterium. RNAcentral describes it as "partial 16S ribosomal RNA". It matches the Rfam family "Bacterial small subunit ribosomal RNA", at positions 28 to 523 of the family's 1533-position model. The record is from RNAcentral.